This 1111-nucleotide ribosomal RNA is filed under the name Klebsiella pneumoniae. RNAcentral's name for it is "partial 23S ribosomal RNA". It matches the Rfam family "Bacterial large subunit ribosomal RNA", at positions 104 to 1258 of the family's 2925-position model. RNAcentral also lists the same sequence under 2 other names. The record is from RNAcentral. Lineage: Bacteria; Pseudomonadati; Pseudomonadota; Gammaproteobacteria; Enterobacterales; Enterobacteriaceae.
CCGGCGAUGUCCGAAUGGGGAAACCCAGUGCAAUUCGUUGCACUAUCGUUAACUGAAUACAUAGGUUAACGAGGCGAACCGGGGGAACUGAAACAUCUAAGUACCCCGAGGAAAAGAAAUCAACCGAGAUUCCCCCAGUAGCGGCGAGCGAACGGGGAGCAGCCCAGAGUCUGAAUCAGCUUGUGUGUUAGUGGAACGGUCUGGAAAGUCCGACGGUACAGGGUGAUAGUCCCGUACACCAAAAUGCACAGGCUGUGAACUCGAAGAGUAGGGCGGGACACGUGGUAUCCUGUCUGAAUAUGGGGGGACCAUCCUCCAAGGCUAAAUACUCCUGACUGACCGAUAGUGAACCAGUACCGUGAGGGAAAGGCGAAAAGAACCCCGGCGAGGGGAGUGAAAAAGAACCUGAAACCGUGUACGUACAAGCAGUGGGAGCACCUUCGGGUGUGACUGCGUACCUUUUGUAUAAUGGGUCAGCGACUUAUAUUCUGUAGCAAGGUUAACCGUAUAGGGGAGCCGCAGGGAAACCGAGUCUUAACUGGGCGUUAAGUUGCAGGGUAUAGACCCGAAACCCGGUGAUCUAGCCAUGGGCAGGUUGAAGGUUGGGUAACACUAACUGGAGGACCGAACCGACUAAUGUUGAAAAAUUAGCGGAUGACUUGUGGCUGGGGGUGAAAGGCCAAUCAAACCGGGAGAUAGCUGGUUCUCCCCGAAAGCUAUUUAGGUAGCGCCUCGUGAAUUCAUCUUCGGGGGUAGAGCACUGUUUCGGCUAGGGGGUCAUCCCGACUUACCAACCCGAUGCAAACUACGAAUACCGAAGAAUGUUAUCACGGGAGACACACGGCGGGUGCUAACGUCCGUCGUGAAGAGGGAAACAACCCAGACCGCCAGCUAAGGUCCCAAAGUCAUGGUUAAGUGGGAAACGAUGUGGGAAGGCACAGACAGCCAGGAUGUUGGCUUAGAAGCAGCCAUCAUUUAAAGAAAGCGUAAUAGCUCACUGGUCGAGUCGGCCUGCGCGGAAGAUGUAACGGGGCUAAACCAUGCACCGAAGCUGCGGCAGCGACACUAUGUGUUGUUGGGUAGGGGAGCGUUCUGUAAGCCUGCGAAGGUG